RNAcentral lists this long non-coding RNA (719 nucleotides) under Lupinus angustifolius (narrow-leaved blue lupine). RNAcentral describes it as "long non-coding RNA (LANG_LNC000168)". The record is from RNAcentral. Lineage: Eukaryota; Viridiplantae; Streptophyta; Magnoliopsida; Fabales; Fabaceae.
GUUUGGCUUAUAAACUUGAGGUCAUGAGUAUAAAUCCCGAAAAUAGUCUCUUAACUUGUGAGAGUAAAGCUUUGUAGAUAUGUCCUUCCCAGAUCUAUCCUUCUCAGAGCACACUAAUGGAAUCCUCAUCCAUUCAGACAGACAUUUUAUUGUUUCUAACACAAGAUCCUGCAAAUGCAAUAGACAAUAGCAACAACAAAGUUAAUGUGUACCCUUUGGUUUUUCAACAAGAAUAAUUUUCCAACACAAGUGUGUCUCUCUUAUUUACCUCUCAAUAAGAAUACCCACCUAACAUUGUAUAUUCAACAUGAUUGCAGUUAAAGAAGAAGAAAACAAGUUCCAUUGCAAGGCACCAAAAAAGGGCAACUGUUGCAUUUGCUAUGAGGAGAGAGUCAACUCACUUUUCUAUAGGUAUUAACUUCUCAAAUGAAUAAUUAAUCUUGUUAGAAAUUAUUUAUUUCUAUUUUCAAAAUACGGUGAGAGAGUAAGUUAUUUCUUUUGUGAUGUAAGUAAGAGUUAUGAGUUUAAAUCUCGUAAAUAACAUAUUUGCUUAUGAGGAUAAGGUAGAACCAAACAUUUUCAUUUCGAAGCAGUAUGGUAUAAUCUUAUAUUGUAUCUCUAAAUUGUUACUUACAGGUGUGGGCACAUGUGUGCGUGUCUCAAGUGUGCGAAUGAGUUGCAAUGGAACAGUGGAAAAUGUCCAGUUUGUCGAGCUCCAA